GACGAACGCUGGCGGCGUGCCUAAUACAUGCAAGUCGAACGCUGAAGGAGGAGCUUGCUCUUCUGGAUGAGUUGCGAACGGGUGAGUAACGCGUAGGUAACCUGCCUGGUAGCGGGGGAUAACUAUUGGAAACGAUAGCUAAUACCGCAUAAGAGUAGAUGUUGCAUGACAUUUACUUAAAAGGUGCAAUUGCAUCACUACCAGAUGGACCUGCGUUGUAUUAGCUAGUUGGUGGGGUAACGGCUUACCAAGGCGACGAUACAUAGCCGACCUGAGAGGGUGAUCGGCCACACUGGGACUGAGACACGGCCCAGACUCCUACGGGAGGCAGCAGUAGGGAAUCUUCGGCAAUGGACGGAAGUCUGACCGAGCAACGCCGCGUGAGUGAAGAAGGUUUUCGGAUCGUAAAGCUCUGUUGUAAGAGAAGAACGAGUGUGAGAGUGGAAAGUUCACACUGUGACGGUAGCUUACCAGAAAGGGACGGCUAACUACGUG
Molecule: ribosomal RNA, 495 nt
Filed under: uncultured bacterium
Lineage: Bacteria
Description: partial 16S ribosomal RNA
Rfam family: Bacterial small subunit ribosomal RNA
Source: RNAcentral